UAACCCCUCCUCUGGGUGGAGCUACAGCCUGAGAAUAAUUCCGCUGUGAACCAGAUACAGGCGGGGCCGGGCUGAUUGGAAAGCUUUUAGUCUGCAGACUUCCUUUUUCUGCUUUAGGCUGACGCAAGUACUCGUCAACCACAAUAAAGAUGGCAGCAACGGCUUUACCUUGGUAACAAGGGAGUCACUUGAUAACAACUGCGGCACUUUUCAUUUUAGUUCCGCCCUAUUAGGGGAGGGAAGUGCUUGGGCCCGCCCCGGCAGCGUGCAUAUAAUUAAGUUGCUAAAGUCGAGAGAGUGUGGAGAUGAUGGAAUAAGAGUCGUGCCAGCCGGUAGAGUGUGAGAAUGAGCGGCGCUCUCCGUCUAAGCACCAGCGUAGCUGGGGAAAUGGGGGAGAAAAAGGGAGAGCAGACCCCCAUCUGCUCUCGGGUAGCCUUUGGGCUCCGUAUGCUAGUGGUGAGGUGGUGCGGCGGGGGACACUGGCAGGCAGAGUGUCGGAAACAGCAGAAAACAUCAUUGACCGGUUUCACUUAUGUACCAGUGACCCCUCCUUCAGUUCCUGUCUGUGAGAGUCUUUCCCUUCAUUGUGACACUCCCUGAACGACAUUUAUUUUGCCUCCAGUUUAUAUCAAAGUGAAGAUACAAGAAUCCUAUUCCUUCAAAGAAGAUUCAGGGUUGUUUACCUGCUCAAAGUCUGCAUUAUGAGAUGUGAGUCUCACUCUGUUGCCUGGGCUACAGUGCUG
This is a non-coding RNA of Microcebus murinus (gray mouse lemur), 743 nucleotides long. Lineage: Eukaryota; Metazoa; Chordata; Mammalia; Primates; Cheirogaleidae. The record is from RefSeq and is a predicted model, not a curated record.